AACGAUGUCGACUUGGAGGUUGUGCCCUUGAGGCGUGGCUUCCGGAGCUAACGCCUUAAGUCGACCGCCUGGGGAGUACGGCCGCAAGGUUAAAACUCAAAUGAAUUGACGGGGGCCCGCACAAGCGGUGGAGCAUGUGGUUUAAUUCGAUGCAACGCGAAGAACCUUACCUGGUCUUGACAUCCACAGAACUUUCCAGAGAUGGAUUGGUGCCUUCGGGAACUGUGAGACAGGUGCUGCAUGGCUGUCGUCAGCUCGUGUUGUGAAAUGUUGGGUUAAGUCCCGCAACGAGCGCAACCCUUAUCCUUUGUUGCCAGCGGUCCGGCCGGGAACUCAAAGGAGACUGCCAGUGAUAAACUGGAGGAAGGUGGGGAUGACGUCAAGUCAUCAUGGCCCUUACGACCAGGGCUACACACGUGCUACAAUGGCGCAUACAAAGAGAAGCGACCUCGCGAGAGCAAGCGGACCUCAUAAAGUGCGUCGUAGUCCGGAUUGGAGUCUGCAACUCGACUCCAUGAAGUCGGAAUCGCUAGUAAUCGUGGAUCAGAAUGCCACGGUGA
This 560-nucleotide ribosomal RNA is filed under the name Escherichia sp. RNAcentral's name for it is "bacterial SSU rRNA". It matches the Rfam family "Bacterial small subunit ribosomal RNA", at positions 805 to 1365 of the family's 1533-position model. Lineage: Bacteria; Pseudomonadati; Pseudomonadota; Gammaproteobacteria; Enterobacterales; Enterobacteriaceae. The record is from RNAcentral.